RNAcentral lists this ribosomal RNA (425 nucleotides) under uncultured Aeromonas sp. Its description in RNAcentral is "bacterial SSU rRNA". It matches the Rfam family "Bacterial small subunit ribosomal RNA", at positions 354 to 771 of the family's 1533-position model. The record is from RNAcentral. Lineage: Bacteria; Pseudomonadati; Pseudomonadota; Gammaproteobacteria; Aeromonadales; Aeromonadaceae.
GUGGGGAAUAUUGCACAAUGGGGGAAACCCUGAUGCAGCCAUGCCGCGUGUGUGAAGAAGGCCUUCGGGUUGUAAAGCACUUUCAGCGAGGAGGAAAGGUUGGUAGCUAAUAACUGCCAGCUGUGACGUUACUCGCAGAAGAAGCACCGGCUAACUCCGUGCCAGCAGCCGCGGUAAUACGGAGGGUGCAAGCGUUAAUCGGAAUUACUGGGCGUAAAGCGCACGCAGGCGGUUGGAUAAGUUAGAUGUGAAAGCCCCGGGCUCAACCUGGGAAUUGCAUUUAAAACUGUCCAGCUAGAGUCUUGUAGAGGGGGGUAGAAUUCCAGGUGUAGCGGUGAAAUGCGUAGAGAUCUGGAGGAAUACCGGUGGCGAAGGCGGCCCCCUGGACAAAGACUGACGCUCAGGUGCGAAAGCGUGGGGAGCAA